UAGGAAACGGUAGCUAAUACCGCAUAACGUCGCAAGACCAAAGAGGGGGACCUUCGGGCCUCUUGCCAUCAGAUGAACCCAGAUGGGAUUAGCUAGUAGGUGGGGUAACGGCUCACCUAGGCGACGAUCCCUAGCUGGUCUGAGAGGAUGACCAGCCACACUGGAACUGAGACACGGUCCAGACUCCUACGGGAGGCAGCAGUGGGGAAUAUUGCACAAUGGGCGCAAGCCUGAUGCAGCCAUGCCGCGUGUAUGAAGAAGGCCUUCGGGUUGUAAAGUACUUUCAGCGGGGAGGAAGGGGAAGUGGUUAAUAACCACUGCCAUUGACGUUACCCGCAGAAGAAGCACCGGCUAACUCCGUGCCAGCAGCCGCGGUAAUACGGAGGGUGCAAGCGUUAAUCGGAAUUACUGGGCGUAAAGCGCACGCAGGCGGUCUGUCAAGUCGGAUGUGAAAUCCCCGGGCUCAACCUGGGAACUGCAUCCGAAACUGGCAGGCUUGAGUCUUGUAGAGGGGGGUAGAAUUCCAGGUGUAGCGGUGAAAUG
RNAcentral lists this ribosomal RNA (543 nucleotides) under Atlantibacter subterraneus. RNAcentral's name for it is "bacterial SSU rRNA". It matches the Rfam family "Bacterial small subunit ribosomal RNA", at positions 150 to 688 of the family's 1533-position model. Lineage: Bacteria; Pseudomonadati; Pseudomonadota; Gammaproteobacteria; Enterobacterales; Enterobacteriaceae. The record is from RNAcentral.